CACCCUACGGGGGGCAGCAGUGGGGAAUAUUGCACAAUGGGGGAAACCCUGAUGCAGCAACGCCGCGUGAGUGAUGACGGCCUUCGGGUUGUAAAGCUCUGUCUUCAGGGACGAUAAUGACGGUACCUGAGGAGGAAGCCACGGCUAACUACGUGCCAGCAGCCGCGGUAAUACGUAGGGGGCAAGCGUUAUCCGGAUUUACUGGGUGUAAAGGGAGCGCAGGCGGCUUUGCAAGUCUGAUGUGAAAGGCCAGGGCUCAACCCUGGGACUGCAUUGGAAACUGUAAAGCUAGAGUGCCGGAGAGG
Molecule: ribosomal RNA, 305 nt
Filed under: uncultured bacterium
Lineage: Bacteria
Description: bacterial SSU rRNA
Rfam family: Bacterial small subunit ribosomal RNA
Source: RNAcentral